GAAAAAGAGCUCUUUAUUAAAACACUAAGUAUAAAAUAGAUAUCUCCAGGCAGAGGGUACUAAAAGCUAAGGCCGUAAGUCACCUCCCAUGAAAAGACAUUGUCAUUUCAUCUUUAUAUGUCCUGAUUGGAACCCUCCACGCACAUACAACAAGGGAUCUCAAGCAACUGCUGCAGAUCUAUAUAAGAUUUCAGGCAGAAGUAAGAGACAUAUUGGAAACAUCCUGGAUCACUGAGCAACCAAUUUGUAGAAGAAAUGGAAGCAGAAAAGGUCAAGAUUCUUCGGCAGCAGAAACUGGUGGACAUUCUGUCAUGCACCAUUAACGGUAUUCAUUUUUAAUGACAAUUUCUCUGUCUCUCUGUUUUCAAUUUCAAGUUCUAGAGCAAGAAGAGCUAAUUGUCCAAACUGAGAUAACACGUGUGCUGAAUGUUUUCUGUUUUCUUUUCCAGAUCCAUUCUCUAUUCUCCUCCAUCCUCUCCCAUGCCCCAGGGAGGUCAACCUGUAUGGACUGAAUCACGGGUCUCUUGUCCUCUUACUUGCAGUUGGGUUCGGCUGAUGGAAAGCACUGUGGGAGAC
Bos taurus (domestic cattle) is the source of this 576-nucleotide long non-coding RNA. NCBI's taxonomy places the organism in Eukaryota, Metazoa, Chordata, Mammalia, Artiodactyla, Bovidae. The record is from Ensembl.